GGUGCUGGCGGGGCGCGGGCGGGGCAGCGCACAGGCCGGCCCUCUCGCGGGACUCAGUUUCCCCGUCUGCGCGCCCCACAUAUUCGCUUUCCGCAGGUUCUCUCGCUGAGAUUCGCGUCCUUCAAACUAAUGGAACUUUGCAAGGGGGCCCUGCGGCGGCUUCGCGUGGGAGCGCCGGGGAAAGUUCCUGCAAAUCGCCGGACUGGGGGCCCGCCCGGGAAGCUCGGACUGGGCCGGGCAGGGACUGCAGGGGCCUCUGCGCAGACCCGGGGCGUUGCGGCACCGCGGACCCCGGUCACGCGCUGGUUCUGCCCCCGGUACCCCGCACGCGGGACCCUGACCGCGGGGCCUCUGCGGCCGGACGAAGGCAGCGUCCGCGGAGCUGGCAGAAAGCCCGCGCCCAGACCCACAGUGAAGUGAUAAAAGCAGAGAGCAGAAAGGAGAAAACUGAGGGCCAGAAAGGGUGACUCCCCUGAGUGUCAUGCCACAAGUUGAGUGCUGGAGCCAGGACACCUUCCAAACCGGCUGUGCCUGCCUGCAAGCCCCAUCCUCCUCCAUCCCCCUGAGCAGCCAGACUGCAGAGGGAAUGAGCGGACCGAAAACAGUGUGGCCGCAACUUCCCCACUGCUUUGCGGGAGGUGGAGGGAGUUUCUAGGCUCUUUCCCUGUUGGGGAAUUAAGUAGCUGGGGAUCCCACUGAGUCUCCACCACCCUCUCACCCAUUUUCCACCCCUCCCCCACCACAUAUACAUUCUGCUCCCCCAGUGCCAAAUAACUUGCAUUUUCUGGAACACACCUGUCUGCUUACGGUCUCUGUGCCUUUCUUUGCCCACAUCUCCCCUCUUCUUGAAACACCCCUCCUCCCCUCCAGCGUGGGCUCAUGUGACCUAGAGAAGCACGUGGGAGCCCUGUCAUCUGGGGGACUUGGGUUCAAAUCCCACUUCUGGUCCUUAAGUCUGUGACUCUGGGCCUUUGUUUAAUAACUGGAGGAGUUUCAUUAGGAAAAUGGCAGUGACCACAUAUGUCCCUGGAGUGACUGAUGUGCCACCCACAAGCUUCUAUUUGGUCAGUGCUGGGUCCCAUCGUCCCAUCUAGCAUGCUCCUCUUCCAUCCUCGUGCCCCCACUCAGUGCCAUUGUCUCUGCCUCUCACCCUCUGUGCUGCUAUUCCUGCCCUCAUCACCUCCUCCCUAGGGCAGAGGCCCCGUCUUCUUUACCAUGCCCCAGUGCCAGCACAGUGCUUUGGCAAGUUAUUCAGCACUGGGGGAGUAGAGUGUAUGUGUGGUGGGGGAGGGGGUGGAGAAUGGGUAAGAGGGUGAUGGAGACUCAGGGGGACCCCCAGCUACUUAAUACCCCUGAGGAAGUGUCGGCCGAAGUGGACCCACUCCUGUGACAGUUCACAGCCUAGAAGAGGCGUCUGUAACCACGGUGACCAGUAAGUGCCAGCCCUGGGGCCACGUGGCUGUUCUAGAGAAGGAAGACAGCACUACCCUGAGAGCCAUGCUGGUGGCUUCAUCAGGAAGGGAGUCAGCAGGGGGAGGACUGGGGGACCAAGCGGUCCCUAAGAAGCAGAAUUUGCAAUACCCAAGGUUUUAGAAAGAGCAACCUGGCAGGGCCACUGCACAAUGAGAUCACAGACUCACCUCCCAGCUGUGAGUGCAGCUCACCCCACCUGCUCUGACCCAGGCACCGGUUAUGAAGAAGACAAGCAGCUCUACAGAGGGGCCUCAAGAAAUCCUUCGAAACAGAAAUCAAAGUCUUGCUGGAAGGGUUCUGGGCACCCUGGACUGUCCACAUGGGAGGCUGUUGGUGCGUGUGCCUACGUGUGUCCAUCAGUGGAUGCACGAAGAAGGAAAUGAAUUGAUUCCAUUCUUGAUGUGACUUUCAGCUGUCAGCUGUCUGCACUCCCAGACGGGGUGAUGGCCUGGCACCAACGGAGCAUUACCCUGAUGAAUCAUGGUCGAGGGAACAAUUACCACCUUGAGGAAGGAGGCCUGAAAGCUAAGUCUUUGCUAUUGCAUCCGCCUUCUUCUCACGAAGACCUGCAGCUUGAAAGGAGGGGAGGGAGAAAUAGCCCUAAGCUCCAGGAAGACCAAGCCCAGCCUCUGUGAUGAUUCCGAGGAAAUUCAGGAAAUCCUUGCUAAUGGCCAAACUUCCCGGGUUUGAGAUGCAAAAGGAAAUCAGAUCGCAGGGUAAUGCUUUUACACUAAGCAAGAAAUUGCAGGAUAUAAAGCUGUGCAGACCAUUGCCUCUGAUUAAGAAAGCGAUUCUGAGAUUCCAGCCUGGAAGGAACCGGGCCCCAGUGUUAACUGUGGUUAAUUCUGGGUGGAGGGGUGAUGGGUGAUAAUUUCUCCUUUUUCUUUUCUGUACUAACCAUUAAUACUGGGGGGAUGGGCAGUUAAAAAUCAAAGGAAGAAAACAUAAAGAAAGCCAAAUCCUUUUCCAUCUGUAGCCAUUCAAGCUACUGCCUGGACACGCUCUCCUUGAAGCUGGGGCUCCUCUCUCAGCCCCACCUAACAUGGCCCACCUCCUUCCUGGGGUCACUCCGUGUUCCUCAAGCACUUCAAACUCAUCCUCUCCUGCCUCUGAGCUGAGCAUAUGGGCCUCUCCCCUUCCUUUAAAAGCUCCAUCCGUGACUGCCUUCUGGGGGUCAGCCACAUAGCUGAGUGAGGACCACAUGCUUCACACCAAAUGAUACAAGAAGCUUGUUCCAAAUCUAUGUGGGUUUUUUGACAUUUUAGAGAGCAGAUGCUUUCCCAUGCUUUCUAAUUCCCUAUUACAUCUAUACAUCUCUUUUAAAAGAUCCUGCAAGUCCUUUUAGUGUCUGGACACAGGUUAUUCCCUCCCUUUCUUUUUUCCCAAUUUCACCUGCCCCAGUCCUCCUGGUCAGUGCUUCUGUUUCCUGCACAAGGAAACAGCCUUGCAAACAUGGUGAACCCUGAAAGCAUGCUGGAAAUGAAAGAAGCCAGGUACAAAAGACAACAUACUAUAUGAUUUCAUUCACAAGAAAUGUGUGUAACAGAAAAAUUUACAGAGACAGAAAAUAAAUUCCUAGUUGCUUAGGGCUGGGAGAGUGGGGUGAGGCCUCUCUACAGAGAUGGCAAUGCCCAGGAUUCAAUCUGAAGAUGUUGUUUAGAUAUCACAGCAUAGUCGGACAAUAGUGAGGACAGUCUGGCAUUGGCGUACAGAUGAACAAAUAGAUUUGUGCAAUAGAAGAAGCCAAACCAGAUUCCAGCCUACCUCCAGUCACCUGAUUUAACAAAGUCAAAGUCACAAAUCAAUAGGGAGAGGAUGGUCUUUUCAGUAAAUGAUACCGUAUCAAUUGACUCGUCAUAUACAGAACAAAAUGAACUUUGGUCCCAUACACACACAAGUCAUAAAAGUUCACUCAAAGUGAAUGAUAGACCUACAUUUGAAAACAAAAGCAAUGCAGGAUCCAGGAGAAAGGGUCCAGGCAGGAGAAUAUUUUUAUGACCUUGGACUAAGCAAGAGAUUCAUAAACAGGACACAAAACCACUAACCACCAAAAAAAAGGACUGAUAAACAUGACAAUUAAAAUGAAGAAUUUAU
Molecule: long non-coding RNA, 3567 nt
Filed under: Homo sapiens (human)
Lineage: Eukaryota; Metazoa; Chordata; Mammalia; Primates; Hominidae
Description: HSALNT0360395
Source: RNAcentral